AGUUCACAAAAAUUUCGAGGAAUCGCUUUCAUUAUUGUAAUUUUUUGUAAAUUUUAGAACAUUCGCUUCUCAUGUUGUGUAAAGGAUCUUUACCCCGGAACACCCGAUUUUUUCUUUAGUAGCGCAAAUGCGCAUGCGCUAUGAAGCCGUAGAUCACGAUGGCGUGACGAUAUGCUAGGAAGGGGUGACAGUGUUGUUUUCAAAUGUAUAAAGAUUUCAGACGUGAAUAUUGAGUAAAUCUUUGAAAAUCUACGCAAUAUAUAAAUCGAUCUUAUGCAUUACGGGCGUUCAAUUAAGUGCCGAUAAUAUUUAGA
This is a non-coding RNA of Paramuricea clavata, 314 nucleotides long. The record is from the annotation of a GenBank genome assembly. NCBI's taxonomy places the organism in Eukaryota, Metazoa, Cnidaria, Anthozoa, Malacalcyonacea, Plexauridae.